This 459-nucleotide ribosomal RNA is filed under the name uncultured bacterium. RNAcentral's name for it is "partial 16S ribosomal RNA". It matches the Rfam family "Bacterial small subunit ribosomal RNA", at positions 28 to 523 of the family's 1533-position model. The record is from RNAcentral.
GAUGAACGCUGGCGGCGUGCCUAAUACAUGCAAGUCGAGCGGAAAGGCCUCUUCGGAUGUACUCGAGCGGCGGACGGCUGAGUAACGCGUAGGAACGUACCCCAAACUGAGGGAUAACUGCUCGAAAGAGUAGCUAAUACCGCAUGUGCUCUACGGAGUAAAGCUUCGGCGGCUUGGGAACGGCCUGCGUAAGAUUAGCUUGUUGGUAAGGUAAUGGCUUACCAAGGCGACGAUCUUUAGCUGGUCUGAGAGGAUGAUCAGCCAGACUGGGACUGAGACACGGCCCAGACUCCUACGGGAGGCAGCAGUAGGGAAUUUUCCACAAUGGGCGAAAGCCUGAUGGAGCAACGCCGCGUGCAGGAUGAAUGCCUUCGGGUUGUAAACUGCUUUUAUAAGUGAAGAAUAUGACGGUAACUUAUGAAUAAGGAUCGGCUAACUCCGUGCCAGCCGCCGCAGUAA